RNAcentral lists this long non-coding RNA (501 nucleotides) under Haliotis rubra (blacklip abalone). RNAcentral's name for it is "uncharacterized LOC124280421, transcript variant X3". Lineage: Eukaryota; Metazoa; Mollusca; Gastropoda; Lepetellida; Haliotidae. The record is from RNAcentral.
CUGUACAUGUUACAGAUGUAUGAAUGUAAGGCUGUACUGAGGUGGUUGAGGGGUCACACCUGUACAUGUUACAGAUGUAUGAAUGUAAGGCUGUCCGGAGGUGAUCGAGGUGUCACACCUGUGCAUGUUACAGAUGUAUGAAUGUAAGGCUGUACUGGGGUGGUGGAGGUGCCACACCUGUACAUGUUACAGAUGUAUGAAUGUAAGGCUGUACUGAGGUGGUGGAGGCGUCACACCUGUUCAUGUUACAGAUGUAUGAAUGUAAGGCUGUACUGAGGUUUUGGAGGCGUCACACCUGUUCAUGUUACAGAUGUAUGAAUGUAAGGCUGUACUGAGGUUUUGGAGGCGUCACACCUGUUCAUGUUACAGAUGUAUGAAUGUGAGGCUGUACUGAGGUUUUGGAGGCGUCACACCUGUUCAUGUUACAGAUGUAUGAAUGUAAGGCUGUACUGAGGUGGAGGUGCCACACCUGUACAUGUUACAGAUGUAUGAAUGUAAGGC